This 270-nucleotide ribosomal RNA is filed under the name Triticum aestivum (bread wheat). Its description in RNAcentral is "partial small subunit ribosomal RNA". The record is from RNAcentral. Lineage: Eukaryota; Viridiplantae; Streptophyta; Magnoliopsida; Poales; Poaceae.
AUGGGGUACAAGGCGUACGUGUACCGGGUGCUGAAGCAGGUGCACCCGGACCUGGGGGCGUCGGGGAAGACGAUGCAGGCGCUGGACAUGAUGAUGGCGGACAUGUUCGAGCGGCUGGCCACGGAGGCGUCGCGGCUGGCGCAGUACGCCGGGCGCGCCACGCUCACGUCCCGCGACGUGCAGAACGCGGUGCGGCUGGUGCUCCCCGGCGAGCUCACCAAGCACGCCAUCUCCGAGGGCACCAAGGCCGUCACCAUGUACACGUCCUGA